GGCCACGUGGAGUUUGUUAUGGAGAGUAGAGUGGUGUCCGUUGUUGUGACUUGUCAGAGAGUGGUAGAGCCCGGAGAGUGGAGUGGUGUCCGUUGUCGUGACUUGCCAGAGGGUAGUGGAGCCACAUGAAAUCCAUUGCAGAGAAUGGGGCAGGGUGGUGGCCAUUAUCGUGACUUGCCGGAGAGUUCGGAUCUGUCGGCUGGAGCUCGGCUGGGAUGUCUGAUGGAGAGGAAUGGCUCUCUAUCCUGCCGAUCUAGGAGAAGCUCGAAUAUUUUCGAGGCUGCUGACGAGUCUAUUAUUGUCGAAUGCCUUAGGUGCUAAUGCUACAGGCGGAAGUCAUCUACUGUAGAAGCUCGAAUGGAGACUUUCUGU
This 372-nucleotide long non-coding RNA is filed under the name Elaeis guineensis (African oil palm). RNAcentral describes it as "long non-coding RNA (EGUI_LNC033469)". Lineage: Eukaryota; Viridiplantae; Streptophyta; Magnoliopsida; Arecales; Arecaceae. The record is from RNAcentral.